Molecule: ribosomal RNA, 359 nt
Filed under: Eleutherodactylus armstrongi (Armstrong's robber frog)
Lineage: Eukaryota; Metazoa; Chordata; Amphibia; Anura; Eleutherodactylidae
Description: partial 12S ribosomal RNA
Rfam family: Bacterial small subunit ribosomal RNA
Source: RNAcentral
GUCAGGGAACUACGAGCAGAGCUUAAAACCCAAAGGACUUGACGGUACCCCAUAUCCCCCUAGAGGAGCCUGUCCUAUAAUCGAUAAUCCCCGUUUAACCUCACCACAUCUAGCUUAUCAGCCUGUAUACUUCCGUCGCAAGCCUACCACUUGAGCGAAGCUUAGUUAGCCCAAUGUCCACACAUAAAUGUGUUUAUAUCGACAAUACGUCAGGUCAAAGUGCAGCAAACGCUGUGGGAUGAGAUUGGCUACACUUUUUAACUUAGAAGAAACGGAAACAAAAUGAAACUUUGUCAGAAGGUGGAUUUAGCAGUAAAAUGAAAAUAUCAAAUUCAUUUUAACUCGGCACUGGGGUGUGU